GAUGAAGAACGUAGCGAAAUGCGAUACUUGGUGUGAAUUGCAGAAUCCCGUGAACCAUCGAGUCUUUGAACGCAAGUUGCGCCCGAAGCCGUCAGGCCGAGGGCACGCCUGCCUGGGCGUCACACGCCGUUGCCCCCCCAGCGCCUCCCUCGGGAGCGUCGGGGGGAGCGGACGAUGGCCUCCCGUGCGACACCCCGCGCGGUUGGCACAAAUGCCGGGUCCUCGGCGACGAACGCCACGACAAUCGGUGGUUGUCAAACCUCGGUUGCCCGUUGUGCGCCUUCGUCGCGCCACGAGCGGCCCGCGAUAGCAAACGGCUCCGCUCCGGCGGAGCUUUCAACGCGACCCCAGGUCAGGCGGGGUUACCCGCUGAGUUUAAGCAUAUCAAUAAGCGGAGGA
Molecule: unclassified non-coding RNA, 399 nt
Filed under: soil metagenome
Description: partial contains 5.8S ribosomal RNA, internal transcribed spacer 2, and large subunit ribosomal RNA
Rfam family: 5.8S ribosomal RNA (bases 1-122)
Source: RNAcentral